This 253-nucleotide ribosomal RNA is filed under the name uncultured bacterium. RNAcentral's name for it is "partial 16S ribosomal RNA". It matches the Rfam family "Bacterial small subunit ribosomal RNA", at positions 524 to 776 of the family's 1533-position model. The record is from RNAcentral.
UACGUGGGGUGCAAGCGUGAAUCGGAAUUACUGGGCGUAAAGCGUGCGCAGGCGGUUUUGUAAGUCUGUCGUGAAAGCCCCGGGCUCAACCUGGGAAUUGCGAUGGAGACUGCAAGGCUUGAAUCUGGCAGAGGGGGGUAGAAUUCCACGUGUAGCAGUGAAAUGCGUAGAGAUGUGGAGGAACACCGAUGGCGAAGGCAGCCCCCUGGGUCAAGAUUGACGCUCAUGCACGAAAGCGUGGGGAGCAAACAGG